RNAcentral lists this long non-coding RNA (564 nucleotides) under Androctonus crassicauda. Lineage: Eukaryota; Metazoa; Arthropoda; Arachnida; Scorpiones; Buthidae. The record is from RNAcentral.
AAAAUAUUAUACUGUCCAGCCCUGAGAACCUUGUCUCCACAACAAAAAGAAAGAAUAAUAAACAAUAGAAAAUAUAUGAUCAAACAAAAAGUUGCAUUACAUGCAGAUGUUGCAAAGACAAAAAGAAAGAAAAAAAAAGGAGAAAACAUAAGAUGUCAUCUUUCCCUAGGAAAAAGGUGAAAGAAAAGAAAGGGGAGUUUGUCUGAGACAGAGGUAGACUAAUACAAGAAAGUUAGUCUGCUCUGAGACUCUAAAAUGGAAGAUGGGAAAAAUGUAGCAGACAAAGGUGAAUCCAUAUCUUAUCCUGGAUUCCUGUAUUACUUAUUCAUGACUUUAUUUGAAAAUAAGCUAAAAUUUAGUGAUGCACCAUUUUAUAUCAACCAUCUGCUGCAGAAUCCUCACACUGGUGUCAGAAGCAGAUUGUUGAAUGAUAAGAUUCAAGACACCAGCUUACCUAUGUUGCAGAACCUGUACAGAAUCAAAAAUAUUUCCAAUUGAUUUCAUUGUUUUUGCAAUUUCGGUUCAUUACAAGAUCACAUUAAUUAAAAUGCUAUUUAAUCCUUU